Bubalus bubalis (water buffalo) is the source of this 701-nucleotide long non-coding RNA. RefSeq lists it as uncharacterized. The transcript is spliced from 4 exons. NCBI's taxonomy places the organism in Eukaryota, Metazoa, Chordata, Mammalia, Artiodactyla, Bovidae. The record is from RefSeq and is a predicted model, not a curated record.
CUUCUCGGCUUCCACGGAGUCCAGUUGUUUCAAAGGAACUUGAAGCCAGCUCCUGCCCAGUGCGAGCGGCUAAGGCUGGUUGGGACCCCUGACACUAAAACUGGACCUGUGACCGGUUUUAGGCAGUGAGUGGCCUGUUGACUAGGGAAGACUGGAAACUGCAUCCUCAGGUAAGACUGGGCAUCUUCAUUUUGAAUAUGUAUUAGCAUUUAACAGAGAUGAGUCUGCGCAGAAUACCCAUUCCCGCCCCUUGUGCCGCUUCUACCAAUCACCUUUCCCCAACCUAAGCCCACCUUGCUUAUCCCUUAAGUAUCCCACCCGCUUGACCUCAAGGAGGCGGAGCUAAAGUUUGUUCUUCAUCUUCUUACUCGCUGUCCUGACUGUAGAAAUAAAAGACCCUCCUGCCCUGGGAUCAUGGACUCAAGAUGCUAGUAGCCCUGUGCUAAGGAAGCUGUGUGGCUGAUAAAUAUUUAAACAAAGAAAAUGAAGAAAGGGCCUGGCAAAGAGGAGGCCAGAGGAAGGAACAGCCAAGACUAGAGCUCUGAAACUCUUGUGCUUCAUCCCUGAGCAUUUGUGGAUUUUAAUCAAAAUAACUGGUUAGAAGACACAGGAGGGAAUCUCUGUGAUUCUUCACCGGACGGAAGCUUCAUCGCUGCAUACCCUACAGUGCCCAUCAGAGGCAGUGUGCCAGUGACUACUGU